UACGCCUGUAGACCACAAUGACACGGUGGUCCAUUGCAUUCUUUGAAAGUCGUCAAAAUACAUGAAACCGCAAUUGCCCCCAUUUUUUUAUUUCAUAAUGAUAAUAUUUAAUGACUUCUGUACUCUGAACUUGAAAUGUCUCUGCUUUUUAUUUCAGAAAUCUGGUCACCUUACCUGAGAUGAAAUGGAAAUAACAACUGCGUGUUUUCCCUGGCUGUUUUUAAUUAAUGUAGUUUGUGAAUGUUACUGAGCACUUUAUUGGACUUCAGAAGUAAUGUGAAUGAGUGAGGGGCUUAAUUUAAGUUGCACUUUUCUUCAUCUCAACAGUGUUCACUGCAGCUAGAUGGGCAAAUGACUCCCUCCUGUGAUGGAAUCAAGUGGAUUCAGCAUUCAAGAUUCAGAUUUGAAGUUCAAGAUCCACAUUUACAGUUUCACACUGCAUGUUUGAUACCAACCUUCUGUUCCAUUUUCCUUUUGAAUUAAAGCUUCCUUUUCUCUUC
Long non-coding RNA from Epinephelus moara (kelp grouper), 500 nucleotides. RefSeq lists it as uncharacterized. The record is from RefSeq and is a predicted model, not a curated record. The transcript has 2 exons. Lineage: Eukaryota; Metazoa; Chordata; Actinopteri; Perciformes; Serranidae.